UACGUAGGGGGCGAGCGUUGUCCGAAGUUACUGGGCGUAAAGCGCGCGUAGGCGGUUAAUUAAGUCUGUGGUGAAAGGUUCAGCGCUCAACGCGAACAUUGCCCUGGAUACUGGUUGACUUGAGUCUGGGAGGGGGUAGUGGAAUUCCUGGUGUAGCGGUGAGAUGCGUAGAUAUCAGGAGGAACACCGGUGGCGAAGGCGACUACCUGGCCUAAGACUGACGCUGAGGUGCGAAAGCGUGGGGAGCGAGCGGG
RNAcentral lists this ribosomal RNA (254 nucleotides) under uncultured bacterium. RNAcentral's name for it is "partial 16S ribosomal RNA". It matches the Rfam family "Bacterial small subunit ribosomal RNA", at positions 524 to 776 of the family's 1533-position model. The record is from RNAcentral.